This 549-nucleotide ribosomal RNA is filed under the name uncultured bacterium. Its description in RNAcentral is "bacterial SSU rRNA". It matches the Rfam family "Bacterial small subunit ribosomal RNA", at positions 355 to 896 of the family's 1533-position model. The record is from RNAcentral.
UGGGGAAUUUUGGACAAUGGGCGCAAGCCUGAUCCAGCCAUGCCGCGUGUCUGAAGAAGGCCUUCGGGUUGUAAAGGACUUUUGUCAGGGAAGAAAAGGACAGGGUUAAUACCUCUGUUUGAUGACGGUACCUGAAGAAUAAGCACCGGCUAACUACGUGCCAGCAGCCGCGGUAAUACGUAGGGUGCGAGCGUUAAUCGGAAUUACUGGGCGUAAAGCGAGCGCAGACGGUUACUUAAGCAGGAUGUGAAAUCCCCGGGCUCAACCUGGGAACUGCGUUCUGAACUGGGUGACUAGAGUGUGUCAGAGGGAGGUAGAAUUCCACGUGUAGCAGUGAAAUGCGUAGAGAUGUGGAGGAAUACCGAUGGCGAAGGCAGCCUCCUGGGAUAACACUGACGUUCAUGCUCGAAAGCGUGGGUAGCAAACAGGAUUAGAUACCCUGGUAGUCCACGCCCUAAACGAUGUCAAUUAGCUGUUGGGCAACUUGAUUGCUUAGUAGCGUAGCUNACGCGUGAAAUUGACCGCCUGGGGAGUACGGUCGCAAGAUUA